CCUACGGGAGGCAGCAGUGGGGAAUAUUGCACAAUGGGCGAAAGCCUGAUGCAGCAACGCCGCGUGAAGGAAGAAGGGUUUCGGCUCGUAAACUUCUAUCAACAGGGACGAAAGAAAUGACGGUACCUGAAUAAGAAGCCCCGGCUAACUACGUGCCAGCAGCCGCGGUAAUACGUAGGGGGCAAGCGUUAUCCGGAAUUACUGGGUGUAAAGGGUGAGUAGGCGGCAUGGUAAGCCAGAUGUGAAAGCCUUGGGCUUAACCCGAGGAUUGCAUUUGGAACUAUCAAGCUAGAGUACAGGAGAGGAAAGCGGAAUUCCUAGUGUAGCGGUGAAAUGCAUAGAUAUCGCGCAGAACCCCGAUUGCGAAGGCAGCGUGCCGUGCCGCCACUGACGCUGAGGCACGAAAGCGCGGGGAUCGAACAGGAUUAGAUACCCCAGUAGUC
This 443-nucleotide ribosomal RNA is filed under the name uncultured bacterium. RNAcentral's name for it is "partial 16S ribosomal RNA". It matches the Rfam family "Bacterial small subunit ribosomal RNA", at positions 338 to 795 of the family's 1533-position model. The record is from RNAcentral.